ACUCCUGCGGGAGGCAGCAGUGGGGAAUAUUGCACAAUGGGCGCAAGCCUGAUGCAGCGACGCCGCGUGGGGGAUGAAGGCCUUCGGGUUGUAAACUCCUUUCGCUAGGGACGAAGCUUUUUUGUGACGGUACCUAGAUAAGAAGCACCGGCUAACUACGUGCCAGCAGCCGCGGUAAUACGUAGGGUGCGAGCGUUGUCCGGAAUUACUGGGCGUAAAGGGCUCGUAGGUGGUUUGUCGCGUCGUCUGUGAAAUUCUGGGGCUUAACUCCGGGCGUGCAGGCGAUACGGGCAUAACUUGAGUGCUGUAGGGGUAACUGGAAUUCCUGGUGUAGCGGUGAAAUGCGCAGAUAUCAGGAGGAACACCGAUGGCGAAGGCAGGUUACUGGGCAGUUACUGACGCUGAGGAGCGAAAGCAUGGGUAGCGAACAGGAUUAGAAACCCGUGUAGUCCCAUGAU
RNAcentral lists this ribosomal RNA (458 nucleotides) under uncultured organism. RNAcentral describes it as "partial 16S ribosomal RNA". It matches the Rfam family "Bacterial small subunit ribosomal RNA", at positions 335 to 801 of the family's 1533-position model. The record is from RNAcentral.